GCAAGUAAUGAUGUUUUCAGCAACGCUCAGCAAGGAGAUCCGUCCAGUCUGCAAAAAAUUUAUGCAAGAUCCAAUGGAAAUUUAUGUUGACGAUGAGGCAAAGUUGACCCUUCAUGGACUUGUACAGCAUUACAUCAAAUUGAGUGAAACGGAGAAAAACCGGAAGCUAAAUGAUCUGCUGGAUGCCUUGGACUUCAAUCAAGUGGUAAUAUUUGUCAAGAGUGUGAACAGGGCAGCAGAGCUGAAUAAAUUACUAGCGGAGUGUAAUUUUCCAUCUAUCUGCAUCCACUCUGGCAUGACUCAGGAGGAAAGAUUGACGCGCUACAAAGCUUUCAAGGAGGGUCAUAAGAGAAUUCUUGUGGCAACUGAUUUGG
RNAcentral lists this unclassified non-coding RNA (374 nucleotides) under Hevea brasiliensis (rubber tree). Lineage: Eukaryota; Viridiplantae; Streptophyta; Magnoliopsida; Malpighiales; Euphorbiaceae. The record is from RNAcentral.